RNAcentral lists this ribosomal RNA (856 nucleotides) under uncultured bacterium. RNAcentral's name for it is "bacterial SSU rRNA". It matches the Rfam family "Bacterial small subunit ribosomal RNA", at positions 12 to 869 of the family's 1533-position model. The record is from RNAcentral.
UUUAAUCCUGGCUCAAGACGAAACCGCGGGCGGCCGUGCUUACCAACAUGCAAGUCGAGCGGGAGACUUUUACUGUAUUUUUUUGUAAAUUUUUAGCGGCGGACGGGUGAGUAACACGUGGGUACCCUGCCUCGAAAUGAAGAAUAGCCUUCCGAAAGGGAGAUUAAUACCUCAUAAUUAUUAAUUUUUCGCAUGAAAGAUUAAUUAAAGGAUUUAUUCGCUUCGAGAGGGACCCGCGGCGCAUUAGUUAGUUGGUGAGGUAAUGGCUCACCAAGACAAUGAUGCGUAGCCGACCUGAGAGGGUGAUCGGCCACAUUGGAACUGAGAUACGGUCCAAACUCCUACGGGAGGCAGCAGUGGGGAAUAUUGCACAAUGGGCGAAAGCCUGAUGCAGCAACGCCGCGUGAGUGAUGAAGGCUUUCGAGUCGUAAAGCUCUUUGAUCAGGGACGAUAAUGACGGUACCUGAAGAACAAGCCACGGCUAACUACGUGCCAGCAGCCGCGGUAAUACGUAGGUGGCGAGCGUUGUCCGGAAUUAUUGGGCGUAAAGGAUGCGUAGGUGGAUGUUUAAGUGGGAUGUGAAAUCCCUGGGCUCAACCCAGGAAUUGCAUUCCAAACUGGAUAUCUUGAGUAUAGUAGAGGAAAGCAGAAUUCCUAGUGUAGAGGUGAAAUUCGUAGAUAUUAGGAGGAAUACCAGUGGCGAAGGCGGCUUUCUGGACUAUAACUGACACUGAGGCAUGAAAGCGUGGGUAGCAAACAGGAUUAGAUACCCUGGUAGUCCGCGCCGUAAACGAUGGGUACUAGGUGUAGGAGGUAUCGACCCCUUCUGUGCCGUCGUUAACACCAAUAAGUACCC